This 253-nucleotide ribosomal RNA is filed under the name uncultured bacterium. Its description in RNAcentral is "partial 16S ribosomal RNA". It matches the Rfam family "Bacterial small subunit ribosomal RNA", at positions 524 to 776 of the family's 1533-position model. The record is from RNAcentral.
UACAGAGGGUGCAAGCGCUAAUCGGAAUUACUGGGCGUAAAGCGUGCGUAGUCGGUUAUCUAAGUCGGGUGUGAAAUCCCCGGGCUCAACCUGGGAAUUGCAUUCGAUACUGGAUAGCUAGAGUUCGGCAGAGGGAAGCGGAAUUUCCGGUGUAGUGGUGAAAUGCGUAGAUAUCGGAAGGAACAUCAGUGGCGAAAGCGGCUUCCUGGACCAGAACUGACGAUCAGGCACGAAAGCGUGGGGAGCAAACAGG